Molecule: ribosomal RNA, 468 nt
Filed under: uncultured bacterium
Lineage: Bacteria
Description: partial 16S ribosomal RNA
Rfam family: Bacterial small subunit ribosomal RNA
Source: RNAcentral
GACGAACGCUGGCGGCGUGCUUAACACAUGCAAGUCGAACGGAAAGGCCCUGCUUUUGUGGGGUGCUCGAGUGGCGAACGGGUGAGUAACACGUGAGUAACCUGCCCUUGACUUUGGGAUACCUUCAGGAAACUGGGGCUAAUACCGGAUAGGAGCUCCUGCUGCAUGGUGGGGGUUGGAAAGUUUCGGCGGUUGGGGAUGGACUCGCGGCGUAUCAGCUUGUUGGUGGGGUAGUGGCUUACCAAGGCUGUGACGGGUAGCCGGCCUGAGAGGGUGACCGGCCACAUUGGGACUGAGAUACGGCCCAGACUCCUACGGGAGGCAGCAGUGGGGAAUAUUGCACAAUGGGCGGAAGCCUGAUGCAGCGACGCCGCGUGCGGGAUGACGGCCUUCGGGUUGUAAACCGCUUUCGCCUGUGACGAAGCGUGAGUGACGGUAAUGGGUAAAGAAGCACCGGCUAACUACGUG